CAAUAGCGUAUAUUAAAGUUGUUGCAGUUAAAAAGCUCGUAGUUGGAUUUCUGGUGGGAGCGAUCGGUCUGGCGCUUAGCGCGAGUACUUGCAUCGUCUCCGGCCAUCCUUGGGGAGAGUCUGUCUGGCAUUAGGUUGUCGGGCAGAGGAUCCUCAUCGUUUACUGUGAAAAAAUUAGAGUGUUCAAAGCAGGCUUAUGCCGUUGAAUAUAUUAGCAUGGAAUAAUAAGAUAGGACUUUGGUACUAUUUUGUUGGUUUGCGCACCAAAGUAAUGAUUAAUAGGGACAGUUGGGGGUAUUCGUAUUCCGUUGUCAGAGGUGAAAUUCUUGGAUUUACGGAAGACGAACUACUGCGAAAGCAUUUACCAAGGAUGAUUUCAUUAA
Molecule: ribosomal RNA, 383 nt
Filed under: uncultured eukaryote
Lineage: Eukaryota
Description: partial 18S ribosomal RNA
Rfam family: Eukaryotic small subunit ribosomal RNA
Source: RNAcentral